RNAcentral lists this ribosomal RNA (253 nucleotides) under uncultured bacterium. RNAcentral describes it as "partial 16S ribosomal RNA". It matches the Rfam family "Bacterial small subunit ribosomal RNA", at positions 524 to 776 of the family's 1533-position model. The record is from RNAcentral.
GACGGAAGGUGCAAGCGUUGCUCGGAAUCACUGGGCGUAAAGGGUGCGUAGGCCGCACGGUAAGUCAGAGGUGAAAUCCCGGAGCUCAACUCCGGAAUGGCCUCCGAUACUGCCGUGCUCGAGGACUGGAGAGGAGUCUGGAAUUCACAGUGGAGCAGUGAAAUGCGUGGAUAUUGUGAGGAACACUAGUGGCGAAGGCGAGACUCUGGACAGUUCCUGACGCUGAGGCACGAAGGCCAGGGGAGCAAACGGG